CUUGUCCCCAGAGGCACUGCUGGUGUGGCUGCCGUGACACCUACAUAUCAGUAGGUGGCAGAGAGCUGAGAGGCCAUGUCCUCACUCAGUGCUCUGACCUAUGAGCACCCCUGAAAACAGUGACCCUGAGAUG
This 133-nucleotide small nucleolar RNA is filed under the name Mus pahari (shrew mouse). Its description in RNAcentral is "predicted gene, 22792 (MGP_PahariEiJ_G0034417.1)". It matches the Rfam family "Small nucleolar RNA SNORA17". From Rfam's summary of the family: snoRNA ACA 17 belongs to the H/ACA family of snoRNAs and is predicted to guide pseudouridylation of the 28S rRNA at positions U4659 and U4598. It shares the same host gene together with ACA43. Lineage: Eukaryota; Metazoa; Chordata; Mammalia; Rodentia; Muridae. The record is from RNAcentral.